Molecule: ribosomal RNA, 354 nt
Filed under: uncultured bacterium
Lineage: Bacteria
Description: bacterial SSU rRNA
Rfam family: Bacterial small subunit ribosomal RNA
Source: RNAcentral
AGAGUUUGAUCAUGGCUCAGGAUGAACGCUAGCUACAGGCUUAACACAUGCAAGUCGAGGGGAAACGACAUCGAAAGCUUGCUUUUGAUGGGCGUCGACCGGCGCACGGGUGAGUAACGCGUAUCCAACCUGCCCAUCACUUGGGGAUAACCUUGCGAAAGUAAGACUAAUACCCAAUGACGUCUCUAGAAGACAUCUGAAAGAGAUUAAAGAUUUAUCGGUGAUGGAUGGGGAUGCGUCUGAUUAGCUUGUUGGCGGGGUAACGGCCACCAAGGCGACGAUCAGUAGGGGUUCUGGAGAGGAACGGUCCCCCANAUUGGAACUGAGACACGGUCCAAACUCAGUACGGGAGCA